RNAcentral lists this ribosomal RNA (1363 nucleotides) under Curtobacterium flaccumfaciens. Its description in RNAcentral is "bacterial SSU rRNA". It matches the Rfam family "Bacterial small subunit ribosomal RNA", at positions 67 to 1438 of the family's 1533-position model. Lineage: Bacteria; Bacillati; Actinomycetota; Actinomycetes; Micrococcales; Microbacteriaceae. The record is from RNAcentral.
CGAUGAUCCGGAGCUUGCUCCUCGUGAUUAGUGGCGAACGGGUGAGUAACACGUGAGUAACCUGCCCCUGACUCUGGGAUAAGCGUUGGAAACGACGUCUAAUACUGGAUACGAUCACCGGCCGCAUGGUCUGGUGGUGGAAAGAUUUUUUGGUUGGGGAUGGACUCGCGGCCUAUCAGCUUGUUGGUGAGGUAAUGGCUCACCAAGGCGACGACGGGUAGCCGGCCUGAGAGGGUGACCGGCCACACUGGGACUGAGACACGGCCCAGACUCCUACGGGAGGCAGCAGUGGGGAAUAUUGCACAAUGGGCGAAAGCCUGAUGCAGCAACGCCGCGUGAGGGAUGACGGCCUUCGGGUUGUAAACCUCUUUUAGUAGGGAAGAAGCGAAAGUGACGGUACCUGCAGAAAAAGCACCGGCUAACUACGUGCCAGCAGCCGCGGUAAUACGUAGGGUGCAAGCGUUGUCCGGAAUUAUUGGGCGUAAAGAGCUCGUAGGCGGUUUGUCGCGUCUGCUGUGAAAUCCCGAGGCUCAACCUCGGGCUUGCAGUGGGUACGGGCAGACUAGAGUGCGGUAGGGGAGAUUGGAAUUCCUGGUGUAGCGGUGGAAUGCGCAGAUAUCAGGAGGAACACCGAUGGCGAAGGCAGAUCUCUGGGCCGUAACUGACGCUGAGGAGCGAAAGCAUGGGGAGCGAACAGGAUUAGAUACCCUGGUAGUCCAUGCCGUAAACGUUGGGCGCUAGAUGUAGGGACCUUUCCACGGUUUCUGUGUCGUAGCUAACGCAUUAAGCGCCCCGCCUGGGGAGUACGGCCGCAAGGCUAAAACUCAAAGGAAUUGACGGGGGCCCGCACAAGCGGCGGAGCAUGCGGAUUAAUUCGAUGCAACGCGAAGAACCUUACCAAGGCUUGACAUACACCGGAAACGGCCAGAGAUGGUCGCCCCCUUGUGGUCGGUGUACAGGUGGUGCAUGGUUGUCGUCAGCUCGUGUCGUGAGAUGUUGGGUUAAGUCCCGCAACGAGCGCAACCCUCGUUCUAUGUUGCCAGCGGGUUAUGCCGGGGACUCAUAGGAGACUGCCGGGGUCAACUCGGAGGAANGGUGGGGAUGACGUCAAAUCAUCAUGCCCCUUAUGUCUUGGGCUUCACGCAUGCUACAAUGGCCGGUACAAAGGGCUGCGAUACCGUAAGGUGGAGCGAAUCCCAAAAAGCCGGUCUCAGUUCGGAUUGAGGUCUGCAACUCGACCUCAUGAAGUCGGAGUCGCUAGUAAUCGCAGAUCAGCAACGCUGCGGUGAAUACGUUCCCGGGCCUUGUACACACCGCCCGUCAAGUCAUGAAAGUCGGUAACACUACGAAGCCGGUGGCCUAA